CCUACGGGAGGCAGCAGUGGGGGAUAUUGCACAAUGGGGGAAACCCUGAUGCAGCGACGCCGCGUGGAGGAAGAAGGUUUUCGGAUUGUAAACUCCUGUCUUUAGGGACGAUAAUGACGGUACCUAACAAGAAAGCACCGGCUAACUACGUGCCAGCAGCCGCGGUAAAACGUAGGGUGCAAGCGUUGUCCGGAAUUACUGGGUGUAAAGGGAGCGCAGGCGGGAAGACAAGUUGGAAGUGAAAACCAUGGGCUCAACCCAUGAAUUGCUUUCAAAACUGUUUUUCUUGAGUAGUGCAGAGGUAGAUGGAAUUCCCGGUGUAGCGGUGGAAUGCGUAGAUAUCGGGAGGAACACCAGUGGCGAAGGCGGUCUACUGGGCACCAACUGACGCUGAGGCUCGAAAGCAUGGGUAGCAAACAGGCUUAGAUACCCCUGUAGUC
RNAcentral lists this ribosomal RNA (440 nucleotides) under uncultured bacterium. Its description in RNAcentral is "bacterial SSU rRNA". It matches the Rfam family "Bacterial small subunit ribosomal RNA", at positions 338 to 795 of the family's 1533-position model. The record is from RNAcentral.